Molecule: long non-coding RNA, 226 nt
Filed under: Carica papaya (papaya)
Lineage: Eukaryota; Viridiplantae; Streptophyta; Magnoliopsida; Brassicales; Caricaceae
Description: long non-coding RNA (CPAP_LNC000283)
Source: RNAcentral
GCUCAUUCCUUAUUUAAUCAUUUCAGAUCAAGAGGACAUCGCUCCCGAGCCGCUUCCGCAGGAGGACGACGAAGGGAACGCCUAAGGACUCCAUAGUUACAUUCGUAGUUUUUACUUUCAAGUUUCUCCUUUAGGUAGUUUAAUCUUUUAUAUUUUGUGAGCACGUUUUGGUUUUAGUGUAAGGGAUGUUAUUCAAAUUUUGACUUCGCUUCCGCAUUUGAUAUUU